Molecule: small RNA, 668 nt
Filed under: Pongo abelii (Sumatran orangutan)
Lineage: Eukaryota; Metazoa; Chordata; Mammalia; Primates; Hominidae
Description: processed transcript
Source: RNAcentral
GCAAAUACCUGGAGACCAUGUCUGAGGAUGCGACCAGGACCCUGGGGAAAGACAUGAAGUGGUCAACAUUAACCUGAGAAACAAGCCUGAAUGGUACUAUACAAAGCACCCUUUUGGCCACAUUCCUGUCCUGGAGACCAGCCAAUGUCAACUGAUCUAUGAAUCUGUCAUCGCUUGUGAGUACCUGGAUGACGCUUAUCCAGGAAGGAAGCUGUUUCCAUAUGACCCUUAUGAACGAGCUCGCCAAAAGAUGUUAUUGGAGCUAUUUUGUAAGAUUCUUGAGUAUCAGAACACCACCUUCUUUGGUGGAACCUGUAUAUCCAUGAUUGAUUACCUCCUCUGGCCCUGGUUUGAGCGGCUGGAUGUGUAUGGGAUACUGGACUGUGUGAGCCACACGCCAGCCCUGCGGCUCUGGAUAUCAGCCAUGAAGUGGGACCCCACAGUCUGUGCUCUUCUCAUGGAUAAGAGCAUUUUCCAGGGCUUCUUGAAUCUCUAUUUUCAGAACAAUCCUAAUGCCUUUGACUUUGGGCUGUGCUGAGUCUCACCGUCCACCCCUUCACAAUCCAGAAUUCCCCAGCUUGUUGGGAGUUUACAUCACGGAUUGUCUUGGGAAUCAAUCCGUCUUUCUUUCUUUUCUUUGAAGUUCCCAAUAAAAUGAAAACAGGAAA